Molecule: non-coding RNA, 137 nt
Organism: Bacillus sp. TS-2
Lineage: Bacteria; Bacillati; Bacillota; Bacilli; Caryophanales; Bacillaceae
Source: Rfam
UAUAUUUUAACAUUCAUACCGUAGACAGUAGGGGCUUUAUAGCUUAAUAUCCUACCGAGGUAAGCGAUAAAGAUUCUUAUUCAUUAAAGAGUCCUAAAGCCCUCAUGUCUAUCAUGGGGGUUUUUAUAGCUUAAAUA